This 1556-nucleotide ribosomal RNA is filed under the name Salmonella enterica subsp. enterica serovar Typhimurium. Its description in RNAcentral is "bacterial SSU rRNA". It matches the Rfam family "Bacterial small subunit ribosomal RNA". Lineage: Bacteria; Pseudomonadati; Pseudomonadota; Gammaproteobacteria; Enterobacterales; Enterobacteriaceae. The record is from RNAcentral.
UUAAAUUGAAGAGUUUGAUCAUGGCUCAGAUUGAACGCUGGCGGCAGGCCUAACACAUGCAAGUCGAACGGUAACAGGAAGCAGCUUGCUGCUUCGCUGACGAGUGGCGGACGGGUGAGUAAUGUCUGGGAAACUGCCUGAUGGAGGGGGAUAACUACUGGAAACGGUGGCUAAUACCGCAUAACGUCGCAAGACCAAAGAGGGGGACCUUCGGGCCUCUUGCCAUCAGAUGUGCCCAGAUGGGAUUAGCUUGUUGGUGAGGUAACGGCUCACCAAGGCGACGAUCCCUAGCUGGUCUGAGAGGAUGACCAGCCACACUGGAACUGAGACACGGUCCAGACUCCUACGGGAGGCAGCAGUGGGGAAUAUUGCACAAUGGGCGCAAGCCUGAUGCAGCCAUGCCGCGUGUAUGAAGAAGGCCUUCGGGUUGUAAAGUACUUUCAGCGGGGAGGAAGGUGUUGUGGUUAAUAACCGCAGCAAUUGACGUUACCCGCAGAAGAAGCACCGGCUAACUCCGUGCCAGCAGCCGCGGUAAUACGGAGGGUGCAAGCGUUAAUCGGAAUUACUGGGCGUAAAGCGCACGCAGGCGGUCUGUCAAGUCGGAUGUGAAAUCCCCGGGCUCAACCUGGGAACUGCAUUCGAAACUGGCAGGCUUGAGUCUUGUAGAGGGGGGUAGAAUUCCAGGUGUAGCGGUGAAAUGCGUAGAGAUCUGGAGGAAUACCGGUGGCGAAGGCGGCCCCCUGGACAAAGACUGACGCUCAGGUGCGAAAGCGUGGGGAGCAAACAGGAUUAGAUACCCUGGUAGUCCACGCCGUAAACGAUGUCUACUUGGAGGUUGUGCCCUUGAGGCGUGGCUUCCGGAGCUAACGCGUUAAGUAGACCGCCUGGGGAGUACGGCCGCAAGGUUAAAACUCAAAUGAAUUGACGGGGGCCCGCACAAGCGGUGGAGCAUGUGGUUUAAUUCGAUGCAACGCGAAGAACCUUACCUGGUCUUGACAUCCACAGAAGAAUCCAGAGAUGGAUUGGUGCCUUCGGGAACUGUGAGACAGGUGCUGCAUGGCUGUCGUCAGCUCGUGUUGUGAAAUGUUGGGUUAAGUCCCGCAACGAGCGCAACCCUUAUCCUUUGUUGCCAGCGAUUAGGUCGGGAACUCAAAGGAGACUGCCAGUGAUAAACUGGAGGAAGGUGGGGAUGACGUCAAGUCAUCAUGGCCCUUACGACCAGGGCUACACACGUGCUACAAUGGCGCAUACAAAGAGAAGCGACCUCGCGAGAGCAAGCGGACCUCAUAAAGUGCGUCGUAGUCCGGAUUGGAGUCUGCAACUCGACUCCAUGAAGUCGGAAUCGCUAGUAAUCGUGGAUCAGAAUGCCACGGUGAAUACGUUCCCGGGCCUUGUACACACCGCCCGUCACACCAUGGGAGUGGGUUGCAAAAGAAGUAGGUAGCUUAACCUUCGGGAGGGCGCUUACCACUUUGUGAUUCAUGACUGGGGUGAAGUCGUAACAAGGUAACCGUAGGGGAACCUGCGGUUGGAUCACCUCCUUACCUUAAAGAAGC